This 372-nucleotide ribosomal RNA is filed under the name uncultured bacterium. RNAcentral's name for it is "bacterial SSU rRNA". It matches the Rfam family "Bacterial small subunit ribosomal RNA", at positions 527 to 898 of the family's 1533-position model. The record is from RNAcentral.
GAACCGAGCGAACGUUGUUCGGAAUCACUGGGCUUAAAGGGCGCGUAGGCGGGCUGUCAAGUCUGGGGUGAAAUCCCGCGGCUCAACCGUGGAACUGCCUCAGAUACUGACGGCCUCGAGGGAGGUAGGGGCGAGCGGAACUAAUGGUGGAGCGGUGAAAUGCGUUGAUAUCAUUAGGAACUCCGGUGGCGAAGGCGGCUCGCUGGACCUUUUCUGACGCUGAGGCGCGAAAGCUAGGGGAGCAAACGGGAUUAGAUACCCCGGUAGUCCUAGCCCUAAACGUUGGGUACUAGGUAGUAGACUAGACAUGGGUUUACUGCCGAAGCAAAAGUGCUAAGUACCCCGCCUGGGGAGUAUGGUCGCAAGGCUGAA